Suricata suricatta (meerkat) is the source of this 499-nucleotide long non-coding RNA. RefSeq lists it as uncharacterized. The transcript has 3 exons. The record is from RefSeq and is a predicted model, not a curated record. NCBI's taxonomy places the organism in Eukaryota, Metazoa, Chordata, Mammalia, Carnivora, Herpestidae.
UUCAGACCCACCUCGUCGUGUGUCCAGGCCCUGCUCCAGUCCAGGCUUUUAAGGACUGAGGCCCUGUUUAGGAGUAACUAUGGGUUGGUUCCUCAGGCCACAGACCCCUGCCAGCCUUGCUGUGUGUCUUAGAGCCUCUGCCAACAUCGCUUGUGUUUGUGAAACGUCGGAGCUCUCUGGCUGUGCGGGUGAUCUGUCACCUUCUACCAUAUGACACAAUGCUGCUGUGUAAUGAAGCCAAAGAGUCAUCUUAAGAUGAAGUCUGCAUUUAGUUCUACACAUGCAUGAGGAAGCAAUCUAUAAAUUCCUUGUCAGCAUUUCAACUUGAGUUGCUCACUGAGGACAAAACUGAGGUUUUGACAUUCAGAUAUUGAAGUUGAUGAGGCUUCAAGAUGCCAGUGGCCUUAACCUCAGAAUCACUACUUGUGAGAGAGCAGGAGAGCCACCCACCAAUAAGGAGCCCUGAAUAAACGCUUUGCAUAAGUGAGAAUUAAACAUC